AAAACAGAAGGGAAGUGGCCACCACAGAAAUUCUGCAGUGACCUUGUCCUGCUGGGCACUCUCCCAUGCUGGGUUUAGUCAGGGUGACAAUACACAGACAUUAACCUGCUAUGGGGAGACCCACUACGAACACUUUCUUCAAAGAAAAAUCCUAAGGAAUUUAAAAGGAGUGGAUUUUAACAGUUCUACAGACACACCUUUAGAGAUCCAUAGGAUUGAAUCAGAAGUCACAUCAGCCAUGGAACUUCUUUUGGAGAGUGGGAAAUUCCCAGGCACCGAACAAUGACACCAGGUGUUUGAAGAGAGAUGCAGGGAAGCUCCCAGAGGCAAGAAGAUGUGGAGAUGAAAGAGGAACCUUCUGAACUAGGAGAAGAGCACAAUGCACCUUGACAGGAAAGGUUACAGAGCAAUCCCAGUCAGGGCAUCAGCUGGUUUCAAUGGCCAGUAAAACUGGGGGGACUCCCAGGUUCAGAUGGCAAGCAGUGAGUUACAGAAGGACCCUGGCACAGCUGACCUUAGCUCUAACAUUUAAAAAAUGCUUGAGUGAUGAGAAAAAUGAAGGAAAUAAGCACAGAAAUCACUUUUGUCUACAUCUGUG
Long non-coding RNA from Passer domesticus (house sparrow), 598 nucleotides. RefSeq lists it as uncharacterized. The record is from RefSeq and is a predicted model, not a curated record. The transcript has 3 exons. Lineage: Eukaryota; Metazoa; Chordata; Aves; Passeriformes; Passeridae.